Pygocentrus nattereri (red-bellied piranha) is the source of this 587-nucleotide long non-coding RNA. The record is from Ensembl. NCBI's taxonomy places the organism in Eukaryota, Metazoa, Chordata, Actinopteri, Characiformes, Serrasalmidae.
GAAAAGAGAGGAUGCUCCACAGGAAACAGCCAGAAGUGUGGAAGGCAUGCUGAGUGGAAGGACUCACAUCAGCAUAGAGUGCACCGGCGUUGAGUGCGGCAGUCAAACAGCCAUCUACGCUACUCGCUCUGGAGGAGUAGUGGUGUUGGUAGGCCUUGGUGAAAAGAUGACCACCAUGCCUCGCCUCCAUGCAGCUGUCAGAUAAGUCGACAUCAAAGGCGUGUGUUGUUACUGUAACACGUGGCCUUUGGCGAUUGCCAUGGUUGCUUCAAAGCAGGUUGACGUGAAGCCCCUGGUCACCCACCGCUUUCUAUUGGAGCAGGCUGUCCAGGCAUUUGAAACAACACGUCAGAGACUUGGUGUCAAAGUCAUGCUGAACUGACAAAAAUGACCAGAACCCAUAACACCCAGAACCCCUCACUGACCACAGUCAUUUAUUAAUGCUAUGCCGCCCAGCUCUGCCCAGUAUGGUCAGUCUUAGAAAUAAUCUUCCAUAAUUAGUGAUGGGACUUUGCAGCUUUGAAUGCAAUGAAAAUAUUACAUCCUGUAAUUGCCACCUUUCACAUUUACCAAAGUAUUAAAAGGGC